RNAcentral lists this signal recognition particle RNA (216 nucleotides) under uncultured Anaerococcus sp. RNAcentral describes it as "Bacterial large signal recognition particle RNA". It matches the Rfam family "Bacterial large signal recognition particle RNA", at positions 6 to 216 of the family's 256-position model. From Rfam's summary of the family: The signal recognition particle (SRP) is a universally conserved ribonucleoprotein involved in the co-translational targeting of proteins to membranes. Archaeal SRP consists of a 7S RNA and homologues of the eukaryotic SRP19 and SRP54 proteins. In most bacteria, the SRP consists of a 4.5S RNA and the Ffh protein (a homologue of the eukaryotic SRP54 protein). Lineage: Bacteria; Bacillati; Bacillota; Tissierellia; Tissierellales; Peptoniphilaceae. The record is from RNAcentral.
CACUAGACGGGGAACUAGCGGUGCCUUGUAACCUGCAAUCCGCUACAGCAGGGUUUAAUUCCUAGUGGAGGGCUUUUAGCAGUUUAAAAGACUAAUAUAUGCGGUGUUGAUUGAUAGAUCUUACGCAACAGGAGACUGUGAACCAUGUCAGGAGGGGAACCUAGCAGCAUUAAGCAGCCACUUCUGUGUGCCGUAAGGCAACCUAUCAUGAGUCGG